This 142-nucleotide unclassified non-coding RNA is filed under the name uncultured Eurotiomycetes. RNAcentral describes it as "sequence contains ITS2". The record is from RNAcentral. Lineage: Eukaryota; Fungi; Ascomycota; Eurotiomycetes.
CACCCCUCAAACCCCCGGGUUUGACGUUGGGCGCCGCCCUGACCGGGCGCGCCUGAAAGGCAGCGAUGGUGACCGUGAACCUCCAAGCGCACAGAUGUCGCUACGCGAGGGCGCGGGGACCAGCCUUUUAAUUAUUUCUGAA